CACAGGUAACAGACACCUUGGACUAUGGUUGGCUGUUAUCUGAAAUUGAUGCAGUCGACUUUGUGGGGGAAAAGAAAACCAUGAACAGGGGCCAGGCAGUGGCCCGGCCAGUUAAGCAUACACAGUACUAUGCACAAGGACCCGUGCAAGGACACAAGUUUGAACUCCUGCUCCCCACCAGCACUGAAGCAAGUCUGCAGGGUUAUCACUGCAAACUCAUCCAUUUUGGAAAGAUGCCGUAUGCCUGGGUACCCCAGUCUCUACAAUGGAGUCAUCUGUAUCACAGGGUUUGACAUACGCAAGAAAAGACACAAAGCCCAGGUUAUCUCUGAGAGGUGUGAGCCUCAUAAAGAAUGAAUGCUGCCCAGUGAAACAUAUUAUGGAACAAAGCAAGGGCCACUCGACAGCUGGCUCGGAGAUGAGCUAAAGGAGGAACAAACCAUUUUCGGCUCUCAGUUUACCAAAGGUGAAUUAAUAAAUGAGUGGGCCAUAUGAAAAAUGGCAAAUCCAUGGGAGUCAUCGAAAAAAAAGGUUUUACUUUAAAUUACUCUUAAGGUUUGGUUUACUCUCAAUGUCUUAUUCAAUACUCAUAGAUAAUAUAGUUCAUUCUUAGA
This is a long non-coding RNA of Erinaceus europaeus (western European hedgehog), 614 nucleotides long. RefSeq lists it as uncharacterized. The record is from RefSeq and is a predicted model, not a curated record. Lineage: Eukaryota; Metazoa; Chordata; Mammalia; Eulipotyphla; Erinaceidae. The transcript is spliced from 3 exons.